RNAcentral lists this ribosomal RNA (305 nucleotides) under uncultured bacterium. RNAcentral's name for it is "partial 16S ribosomal RNA". It matches the Rfam family "Bacterial small subunit ribosomal RNA", at positions 508 to 807 of the family's 1533-position model. The record is from RNAcentral.
ACAGCAGUCGCCGCGGGAAUACAGAGGGUGCGAGCGUUAAUCGGAUUUACUGGGCGUAAAGCGUGCGUAGGCGGCUUUUUAAGUCGGAUGUGAAAUCCCUGAGCUUAACUUAGGAAUUGCAUUCGAUACUGGGAAGCUAGAGUAUGGGAGAGGAUGGUAGAAUUCCAGGUGUAGCGGUGAAAUGCGUAGAGAUCUGGAGGAAUACCGAUGGCGAAGGCAGCCAUCUGGCCUAAUACUGACGCUGAGGUACGAAAGCAUGGGGAGCAAACAGGAUUAGAUACCCGGGUAGUCCCUGUCUCUUAUAC